GGGGAAGGAAGGCUGUCUGCUGUCUGGUAGGAGGGCUUUGUCUGUGCCUUUCUCUCUCUGUUUCUUUCUGUUUUUCUUUCUCUCUCUCUCUCCUCUUCUCUCUCUCUCACUCGCUUGCUCUGUCUCUGUCUCUCUCUCCCUCUCUGCCCCCCCUCCCUCCCUCUCUCUUGCUCUCUCUCUCUCUUCCCGUCUCUGUGGUUUGUAAGGUAGGUUGCAGUGUGUGUAUAUACACAACAUCAAGAGCAGGAAAAUGGACUCAUUAGGGAGGCAGGCAGUCAUUACCACUCACACUGUACUUCCAGGGAGACACCGAUUAUGAGAAGAGAAACUCAGCGCUGGGGAAGAAGUCACACAAAAAGAAGUGUUAAGAAUUUCCCUUUGAUGCUCUGAAGGCUAAAGAGUACCUGAUAAACUGCAAGUCUGUCUGUGCCCCAUAGCUGCACAGUAGUUAAUAUUUACAAAAUACCUGACUAGACUCUUCAAGAUUCCUCCCCCCAGUCUUCCUCGCUAUGCGUCAAGGAUGAGAGGCACAUAGAAGAGGCAAGGUGACUUGUGACUUAGCCUGUGUCACAGAGUAUGUGAAUUCACUUUCAAAUGAGAAGUUUGGAGACUCACAAAGGGAUCCUUGCUAAGUGGAAAAACAGUUGACUCAAGCACUCUCUUACCUCUAACUUCUUUUUCACCAGCACAAACUCCCUCCCUGUAUUCAAGACUUCUUUUCUCAUCUACUCCUCAGUGGACACCGAAAAAAAAUUCUUUUAAAGAACUGGUUCAUAACAUAAAAGCCUGAAGUCUCAGUUAAACCUGUUAACUUGCCAAGGGUAAGGGUAUGUAUUGUUCACUGGAGAACAGAAUGCCGUAUUCUCCCAGAUCUGCUGGGGAACAGGGAGGGUGGCAGUACAAAUUAGCAUCAGAACAAAGCUUUAUCACAGUGGGAUCCCAGGUUGUUUUAGGUAUAAGAUUCGAAACAAAAAUAUGGGAAGGGAUGGAAUCCAUCAAAUCUAAUAAAGGAAAUUGUAGUAGAUUCAGGGAACUUGGACCCCUGAAUUGCAGUGGCCAGGUUGGGGAGGAAAUGGGCAGUUAAACAAAGUAGUGCUGUAUCUUUCUUUCAUUGUUUGACGAAAUAAUUUUUACCCCUUUUAACUGGAAUGUUUUUUGAAAAAAAGAAAUGAGCCUGGUAUAUCUGAAACAAAGAGCUUACACAGUCACCGAGCUGGUUGGUUUUUAUACCUUCCUUUACUGAGUAUUGUCCUUCAGUACAAUACAGAGCCAUUUCUUUGUUCUCACAAGCUAGCAGUUAAAUUGUAUGUAAAUGUAUGCAAAUUAGAUGCUGUCUAAUAAAGAGAGUCAUUAGAUGGAAG
Molecule: long non-coding RNA, 1361 nt
Organism: Bos taurus (domestic cattle)
Lineage: Eukaryota; Metazoa; Chordata; Mammalia; Artiodactyla; Bovidae
Source: Ensembl